UGAACGCUGGCGGCAUGCUUUACACAUGCAAGUCGAACGGCAGCAUGGGUGCUUGCACCUGAUGGCGAGUGGCGAACGGGUGAGUAAUAUAUCGGAACAUGUCCGGAAGUGGGGGAUAACGUAGCGAAAGUUACGCUAAUACCGCAUAUGCCCUGAGGGGGAAAGGAGGGGAUCGUAAGACCUUUCGCUUUCGGAGUGGCCGAUAUCAGAUUAGCUAGUUGGUGAGGUAAAGGCUCACCAAGGCGACGAUCUGUAGCGGGUCUGAGAGGAUGAUCCGCCACACUGGAACUGAGACACGGUCCAGACUCCUACGGGAGGCAGCAGUGGGGAAUUUUGGACAAUGGGCGCAAGCCUGAUCCAGCCAUUCCGCGUGAGUGAAGAAGGCCUUCGGGUUGUAAAGCUCUUUCGGCAGGGAAGAAAAGGUACUGGUUAAUAACUGGUACUGCUGACGGUACCUGAAGAAGAAGCACCGGCUAACUACGUGCCAGCAGCCGCGGUAAUACGUAGGGUGCGAGCGUUAAUCGGAAUUACUGGGCGUAAAGGGUGCGCAGGCGGCUCUGUAAGUCUGACGUGAAAUCCCCGGGCUUAACCUGGGAACUGCGUUGGAAACUGUAGAGCUAGAGUGUAGCAGAGGGGGGUAGAAUUCCACGUGUAGCAGUGAAAUGCGUAGAGAUGUGGAGGAAUACCGAUGGCGAAGGCAGCCCCCUGGGUUAACACUGACGCUCAGGCACGAAAGCGUGGGUAGCAAACAGGAUUAGAUACCCUGGUAGUCCACGCCCUAAACGAUGUCAACUAGGUGUUGGGGAAGGAGACUUCUUUAGUACCGCAGCUAACGCGUGAAGUGACCGC
This 849-nucleotide ribosomal RNA is filed under the name uncultured bacterium. RNAcentral describes it as "bacterial SSU rRNA". It matches the Rfam family "Bacterial small subunit ribosomal RNA", at positions 30 to 872 of the family's 1533-position model. The record is from RNAcentral.